AAUGAACGCUGGCGGCAUGCCUAACACAUGCAAGUCGAACGAAGGCUUCGGCCUUAGUGGCGCACGGGUGCGUAACGCGUGGGAAUCUGCCCUUGGGUUCGGAAUAACUGUUAGAAAUGACUGCUAAUACCGGAUGAUGUCGUAAGACCAAAGAUUUAUCGCCCAAGGAUGAGCCCGCGUUGGAUUAGCUAGUUGGUGGGGUAAAGGCCUACCAAGGCGACGAUCCUUAGCUGGUCUGAGAGGAUGAUCAGCCACACUGGGACUGAGACACGGCCCAGACUCCUACGGGAGGCAGCAGUGGGGAAUAUUGGACAAUGGGCGAAAGCCUGAUCCAGCAAUGCCGCGUGAGUGAUGAAGGCCUUAGGGUUGUAAAGCUCUUUUACCCGGGAUGAUAAUGACAGUACCGGGAGAAUAAGCUCCGGCUAACUUCGUG
This 433-nucleotide ribosomal RNA is filed under the name uncultured bacterium. RNAcentral's name for it is "partial 16S ribosomal RNA". It matches the Rfam family "Bacterial small subunit ribosomal RNA", at positions 29 to 507 of the family's 1533-position model. The record is from RNAcentral.